Molecule: ribosomal RNA, 461 nt
Filed under: uncultured Gemella sp.
Lineage: Bacteria; Bacillati; Bacillota; Bacilli; Caryophanales; Gemellaceae
Description: bacterial SSU rRNA
Rfam family: Bacterial small subunit ribosomal RNA
Source: RNAcentral
GACGAACGCUGGCGGCGUGCCUAAUACAUGCAAGUCGAGCGAAGUUUUUCUGGUGCUUGCACCGGAAAAACUUAGCGGCGAACGGGUGAGUAACACGUAAGGAACCUGCCUCAUAGACUGGGACAACUAUUGGAAACGAUAGCUAAUACCGGAUAACAGCAUUAACUGCAUGGUUGAUGUUUAAAAGUUGGUUAUGCUAACACUAUGAGAUGGCUUUGCGGUGCAUUAGCUAGUUGGUGGGGUAAAGGCCUACCAAGGCGACGAUGCAUAGCCGACCUGAGAGGGUGAUCGGCCACACUGGGACUGAGACACGGCCCAGACUCCUACGGGAGGCAGCAGUAGGGAAUCUUCCGCAAUGGGCGAAAGCCUGACGGAGCAACGCCGCGUGAGUGAAGAAGGAUUUCGGUUCGUAAAGCUCUGUUGUUAGGGAAGAAUGAUCGUGUAGUAACUAUACACAGUAG